This 75-nucleotide transfer RNA is filed under the name Myxococcaceae bacterium. RNAcentral's name for it is "tRNA-Lys". It matches the Rfam family "tRNA". From Rfam's summary of the family: Transfer RNA (tRNA) molecules are approximately 80 nucleotides in length. Their secondary structure includes four short double-helical elements and three loops (D, anti-codon, and T loops). Further hydrogen bonds mediate the characteristic L-shaped molecular structure. tRNAs have two regions of fundamental functional importance: the anti-codon, which is responsible for specific mRNA codon recognition, and the 3' end, to which the tRNAs corresponding amino acid is attached (by aminoacyl-tRNA synthetases). tRNAs cope with the degeneracy of the genetic code in two manners: having more than one tRNA (with a specific anti-codon) for a particular amino acid; and 'wobble' base-pairing, i.e. permitting non-standard base-pairing at the 3rd anti-codon position. The record is from RNAcentral. Lineage: Bacteria; Pseudomonadati; Myxococcota; Myxococcia; Myxococcales; Myxococcaceae.
GGGGCACUAACUCAACGGUCAGAGUAGCCGGUUCUUACCCGGCAAAUCAGGGUUCGAUUCCCUGGCAUCCCACCG